Molecule: ribosomal RNA, 254 nt
Filed under: uncultured bacterium
Lineage: Bacteria
Description: partial 16S ribosomal RNA
Rfam family: Bacterial small subunit ribosomal RNA
Source: RNAcentral
UACAGAGGUCUCAAGCGUUGUCCGGAAUCAUUGGGCGUAAAGGGCGCGUAGGUGGCCCGGUCAGUCUUUGGUGAAAGCGCGGGGCUCAACCCUGCGUCGGCCAGGGAUACUGCCGCGGCUCGAGCACUGUAGAGGCAGGCGGAAUUCCGGGUGUAGUGGUGAAAUGCGUAGAGAUCCGGAGGAACCCCAGAGGCGAAGGCGGCGCUCUGGCUCGCAGCUGACGCUCAGACACGACAGCAUGGGGAGCGAACGGG